Molecule: ribosomal RNA, 116 nt
Filed under: Carlito syrichta (Philippine tarsier)
Lineage: Eukaryota; Metazoa; Chordata; Mammalia; Primates; Tarsiidae
Source: RNAcentral
CCAGGCGGCACCUCCCUGAGUGUGUUCGAUGUCAUCUGAUCUUGGAGGCUAAGUAGGGUUAGGCCUGGUUAGUACUUGGAUGGGAGAACAAGGGCUGGGAACGGUCACCGCUUGAU